UGACUUCCAAAGUGCAUAAAAUAAAAUUGGAAUGACAAAGAGAAGUUUGCAUGAUCCCUGCGAGAAGAUGACACGUGGAAAGAGAGAAAAUACGAUACAACAU
Molecule: small nuclear RNA, 103 nt
Organism: Dermacentor silvarum
Lineage: Eukaryota; Metazoa; Arthropoda; Arachnida; Ixodida; Ixodidae
Source: RefSeq, a predicted model, not a curated record